AACAAAAGCAGGUAAAGGUAAGUCAGGAAUUCUAAAGGGCUGCCUUCCACCACUAAAGCUCCAGGCAUCAUCAAAUGUCAGACUAGUAUCAUUUGCAGAGUCAGUUAAUAGAGAGAGUUUAAGUAAUGUAAUAGAAUCAAAAUGUUUUCCACAGAAAAAGAAGGCAGAUAGAGAAAAUAUAGUAGAUGUGAAAGACAUAAUGGGCCUCAUAUGUAUCACUCUGAAAGGAAAGAAAUCACCUUUUAAACAUUUACUGCAUGGAAAGGAACCACAACGGAGCAAUAAAAAACUAGAGAAAAUUAUGCAGGAAGAUGAAAGUAAUCUAAAUGUAGUUCAGAAUAAAUUCUGUACUUCUAUUCUUUCUCCACCUCACUUGGAAUGGAAUCCCAGAAUAAAAGAGGUAUACAUGAGAGGAAUAACAAGAUUCUAUCUUUCAUUGUCAACACACCAGGAAUUAUCAGAUACAAUGGAAAAAUGUGAGCAGCCAAUUGAUGAUAGUUUAAGCAGUAUCAAAAAAGCAAAACAUGUGCCGCAGAAAGACAAAGACAGAGUGGAAAAGGCUUUGGAAAAAAACAUGCAUUCCAAAAGAAUAGCUCUGGAGGUGAAGCAACCUUCAGUAUUCCAAGAAUUAGUGUUGAACAUCAAAGAAAAAGGGGGAAAGAUUCAGAAAGAUAAACAAGUUGAGAUUUUGAACAAAGCUUUUGCUUCCAUCUCUUUUCCACCUUACUCUAAAGUGGGCACAAUUAAAGGAGAGGAAGCCAUGGAAAUAAAAAUGAGAUCCUCUUUUUCACAACCAAAUCUCCAAGAGUCAUCAGAUACAGAGAAAAUAGCAUAUGAAAAGUGUAUUUCUGAUAAUAUCUCAAACCGUGUAAAAAAGGCCCUAGAACCUAUACUGCAAAAAAAACAGGAGAGGCAAAAAAUGGAAAAAAAUAGGCCUUUGAAGAAAAUGAAAUCAUCAGUUUCACAGGGAAUUCAGUUGGACAUCAAAGAGCAAGAGAAAAAGAUAGAACGUAUUAAAGGUGAAACAAGUGUGCUUCUGACGAAUGCCUGCGCUUCCAUCCCUUCUCCUUCUCAUUUACAACUGGAAACAAGGAGAGAAAAAGCAGAGCAUGUCACUGAAAUAACAAGAUACUGUCUUCCAGAACUAUCACACCAAAAAUCAUCAGAGGCAGGGGAAAAAGCAGAUGGACUGGCCAGUGAGGGUGAUAUCACAACCGAAGUACAAAAGGCAAAAGAUUACAUGCAACAGAAAGAAAAGGAUGAAGUAAAAAUAUCGGCUAAGAAAGACAUAAUGCAUCCAGAAGACAAAGGUCUGAAAGGAAAGAAGGCACUUUCACAAGACCUACCAUUGAAUACUAAAGAGCCAGGGAAAAUGGAUCAAGAAGCUCAGGAGCAAGGGAAAGAGGACAGAGAAGGUGAGGAGCAAGGGAAAGAGGACAGAAGAGGUGCAGGACAAGAAAAGGUUGAUAGGGAAGACAAAGAGCAAGGGAAAAUGGAUCACAAAGUUGAAGAGCAACAGAAAGCAGAUGGAGUAGGCAUAGAGCAAGGGAAAAUGCACGGAGACAAGAGUGAACAGGAAACAGUUCUGUUCCUAUAUUUGCCUUCCAAUUCUUCUCUAACCUAUUAUAAAUUGGACACAAGAAUAGAAGGAAAGGAAGACCAACAAGGAAUAAUCAGACCUGGUAUUUCACAACUAAGGCCUCAGAAAUCAUCAGAGACCAGGAAAAAAGCAAAUGGAGUGCCUAGUGAGGGUGAUAUCACAAGUGAAGUACAAAAAGCAAAAGAUUACAUGCAACAGAAAGAAGAGGAUGAAGUAAAAAUAUCAGCUGAGAAAGACUUAAUGCAUCCAAAAGACAAAGAUCUGAAAGGAAAGAAGGCACUUUCACAAAACCUACUACUGAAUCCUAAAGAGCCAGGGAAACGGGAUGGAGAAGGACAGGAGCAAGGGAAAGAGGACAGAGAAGGUGAGGAGCAAAGGAAAAGGGAUGGAGAAGUUGAAGGGCAACAGCAAGCAGAUGGAAUAGGCACAGAGCAAGGGAAAGGGGAAGGACACAAGAGUAAACAGGAAACAGUUCUGUUCCUAUAUUUGCCGUCUGAGUCUUCUCUAACUCGUUAUGAAUGGAACACAAGAAAAGAAGGAGAGAAAGACUUACAAGGAAUAAUAAAAUCUGCUGCUUUGCAACUAAGGCAGCAGAAAUCAUUUGAUGCAGGGAAAAUAGCACAUACAAACUCAUUUGCGGUGGAUAGCUCAAAUGAUGUAAAAACAGUACAAGAAUACAAGCCACAGAAAGAAGCAGAUAGAGGAGAAAUAGUAAGUGUGGAUUAUAUAAUGCAACCUGAAGGCACAAUUUUUGAGGCAGAGCAAUUAUCAUUUCUACACACACUCAAUAUUCCUGGCAGCAGUGGCUCCAAAACUAGAGAAGUACCAACAAACUUAAAAGAAAAAUUGAGACAUGUACAGGAAAGAAAAAGUGAGCUAGAUGAGUUUCUGACAAUACCUUCUCUACCUCACUGUAAAUUAGACAAAGGAACAGCAGGCAAAAAAGAGGAACAAGGAGUAACAAGAUCUUUUCUUCCACCCUCAUGGCACAUGGAAUCAUCAGAUACAGG
This 2610-nucleotide long non-coding RNA is filed under the name Piliocolobus tephrosceles (Ugandan red Colobus). RNAcentral describes it as "lncRNA (ENSPTEG00000034921.1)". The record is from RNAcentral. Lineage: Eukaryota; Metazoa; Chordata; Mammalia; Primates; Cercopithecidae.